Mycena maculata is the source of this 96-nucleotide non-coding RNA. NCBI's taxonomy places the organism in Eukaryota, Fungi, Basidiomycota, Agaricomycetes, Agaricales, Mycenaceae. The record is from the annotation of a GenBank genome assembly.
GCAUCGGUGGUGCAUGGACACGCGUCAGAGUCAUAAGAUCGAUCUCGUAUGAUUGUAUCAAUGACGAAGCUCGGGGUUCGACUCCCCGUCGAUGCA